Molecule: long non-coding RNA, 313 nt
Organism: Thamnophis elegans (Western terrestrial garter snake)
Lineage: Eukaryota; Metazoa; Chordata; Lepidosauria; Squamata; Natricidae
Exons: 3
Source: RefSeq, a predicted model, not a curated record
UUCACCGGCAGCUUGUUGGCGUCUGGACUACACUGCAGGCUGAUUGUACACAACAGUCCAGGAAGGCCAAAGAAGUGGUCCCCGUGCAGACGCACUCGGUAGCAGGCUCCGCCCACCUGCCCAGACGUUUUCAAGUCCAUUUUUGAUGCUCCGCGCAUACACAGAAGGUCCUGCAUAUGUACAGAGGUGGCCCGUACGCGGUCAGAUUUGCGAACCGGUAGCGAAGAUUACUUUUCAUAAAUUGCGUCUGCGUUCCCUCGCCACAAUCAAACAGCCAGCAUUCUCCUUCAAAACGGAUUACCGUAGCCGAGGC